Hyaena hyaena (striped hyena) is the source of this 592-nucleotide long non-coding RNA. RefSeq lists it as uncharacterized. The transcript has 2 exons. NCBI's taxonomy places the organism in Eukaryota, Metazoa, Chordata, Mammalia, Carnivora, Hyaenidae. The record is from RefSeq and is a predicted model, not a curated record.
CAUCAACAGGCAAGUCUCAAGAACACGCUCGAGGAAAUGCUCAGAUUCAGGGUUUUCUCAUACAUUUGGCUGAAUCCUUGAGAAAUGGAGCUUUUGUUAACCCCCAGAAGGAGUUUUUGUCUUCUUUCAGUUGAGAAGAGCUUUUGCCAAGUUGUGUAGACUACUGGUGAGGAAACCACCCACCCAAGAGAGCCAGCCUAAACACACAGCCUGAAAUGACCAAAUCUGCACUGGCAUUUGUCAAGUGUUGUUCCGGGAGCGCACCUAACAGAUCCGAGGCCAUGGCGGGCGGCUGCUCCCGUGCUGGAGCAUGGGAGGAAAUCCUGAAGAACACAGAAAGGGCUGGGAGACCUGACUCUUGAAGAAAGGCAGACAGCAGGGAAGGAGGCAAAAGCUUGGACAAACUUCAAGGAAAAUGGGAGUAUGGCAAACUUAAUUACAUAGGAACUACUUAAGGCAAGUGAGUUGGGGAGACCUCGUUUUCCAGAAAAACUUCCUUAAGCAACUCGACUGUCAAGUGUCAGGGGACAAGAGGCUACCUCAAACGCUUCUAAAAAAAAAUCCACUAUAAUAAAGCUUCAGUUGUACAUUC